UCCCACGUAGCUCAGUCGGUAAAGAAUUUGCCUGCAAUGCAGGAGACCUGGGUUCGAUUCCUGGGUUGGGAA
Molecule: transfer RNA, 72 nt
Filed under: Bos taurus (domestic cattle)
Lineage: Eukaryota; Metazoa; Chordata; Mammalia; Artiodactyla; Bovidae
Rfam family: tRNA
About the family: Transfer RNA (tRNA) molecules are approximately 80 nucleotides in length. Their secondary structure includes four short double-helical elements and three loops (D, anti-codon, and T loops). Further hydrogen bonds mediate the characteristic L-shaped molecular structure. tRNAs have two regions of fundamental functional importance: the anti-codon, which is responsible for specific mRNA codon recognition, and the 3' end, to which the tRNAs corresponding amino acid is attached (by aminoacyl-tRNA synthetases). tRNAs cope with the degeneracy of the genetic code in two manners: having more than one tRNA (with a specific anti-codon) for a particular amino acid; and 'wobble' base-pairing, i.e. permitting non-standard base-pairing at the 3rd anti-codon position.
Source: Rfam by way of RNAcentral